AGUUUGAUCCUGGCUCAGGAUGAACGCUAGCUACAGGCUUAACACAUGCAAGUCGAGGGGCAGCAGAACGAUAGCUUGCUAUUGUUGCUGGCGACCGGCGCACGGGUGAGUAACGCGUAUCCAACCUUCCCUGUACUAGAGGAUAGCCCGGCGAAAGUCGGAUUAAUACUCUAUGUUAUUCAAAGCGGGCAUCUAAUUUGAAUCAAAGGUUUACCGGUAUAGGAUGGGGAUGCGUCUGAUUAGGUUGUUGGCGGGGUAACGGCCCACCAAGCCUACGAUCAGUAGGGGUUCUGAGAGGAAGGUCCCCCACAUUGGAACUGAGACACGGUCCAAACUCCUACGGGAGGCAGCAGUGAGGAAUAUUGGUCAAUGGACGAAAGUCUGAACCAGCCAAGUAGCGUGCAGGAUGACGGCCCUAUGGGUUGUAAACUGCUUUUAUACAGGGAUAAAGUCAGUUACGUGUAACUGUUUGUAGGUACUGUAUGAAUAAGGACCGGCUAAUUCCGUGCC
RNAcentral lists this ribosomal RNA (510 nucleotides) under uncultured organism. RNAcentral describes it as "SSU rRNA". It matches the Rfam family "Bacterial small subunit ribosomal RNA", at positions 10 to 509 of the family's 1533-position model. The record is from RNAcentral.